RNAcentral lists this ribosomal RNA (495 nucleotides) under uncultured bacterium. RNAcentral's name for it is "partial 16S ribosomal RNA". It matches the Rfam family "Bacterial small subunit ribosomal RNA", at positions 28 to 507 of the family's 1533-position model. The record is from RNAcentral.
GACGAACGCUGGCGGCGUGCCUAAUACAUGCCAGUAGAACGCUGAAGGAGGAGCUUGCUUCUCUGGAUGAGUUGCGAACGGGUGAGUAACGCGUAGGUAACCUGCCUGGUAGCGGGGGAUAACUAUUGGAAACGAUAGCUAAUACCGCAUAAGAGUAGAUGUUGCAUGACAUUUGCUUAAAAGGUGCAAUUGCAUCACUACCAGAUGGACCUGCGUUGUAUUAGCUAGUUGGUGGGGUAACGGCUCACCAAGGCGACGAUACAUAGCCGACCUGAGAGGGUGAUCGGCCACACUGGGACUGAGACACGGCCCAGACUCCUACGGGAGGCAGCAGUAGGGAAUCUUCGGCAAUGGACGGAAGUCUGAACGAGCAACGCCGCGUGAGUGAAGAAGGUUUUCGGAUCGUAAAGCUCUGUUGUAAGAGAAGAACGAGUGUGAGAGUGGAAAGUUCACACUGUGACGGUAUCUUACCAGAAAGGGACGGCUAACUACGUG